Long non-coding RNA from Jatropha curcas, 903 nucleotides. RefSeq lists it as uncharacterized. The record is from RefSeq and is a predicted model, not a curated record. Lineage: Eukaryota; Viridiplantae; Streptophyta; Magnoliopsida; Malpighiales; Euphorbiaceae.
UUUUUUUUUUUUUUUUUUGUUUUUGUUCUUUCUCUUGGCUUUCGCUCAUUUUCUCUCGCUUUCUACGUUAGUUCUUGUUGAUUUCAUACUGAUUUGGGCAUAAUUGAGUUGAUUUCAUCCUAUUGUGAUGGCUGGUUCAAGUUACAGUAAAGAUUGCUCAUCCUUUUUCCUCUGCCUUCUGCAGGUCAGAUCCUCUGUAACGGUCAUGAUGUGACAGAAUCUGGAGUUUUUCACCAAUAUAAGCAUCAACGUAAUUGGCUCUCCUUGAAAGAUGCAUCAAAGAAAAGUUUAUAAUUGGCUCUCCUUGAAAGAUGCCAUCAAAUAAAAGUUUACUGUCCUUGACAAUGUUCAAUGGUUUGAGAUUCUUGAAGGCAAGCAAGGAAAUUCUAUGCCUGCUAUUGAGUUGAUGGGGCUCGUAAGAUUGGCAAAAGAGAAGGCAAGAAUGCUGUCAAUGGGCCAACGGGAGAGGCUGCAACUUGGAAGACUACUGGCCAUUGACCGACCAAUUUGGUUACUGGAUGAGCCUUCUGUCGCAUUAGAUGAAGAAGGGGUAAUGCUCGAAUACAUUAUUGCAGAGCAUAGAAAGAAGGGAGGGAUUGUGUUUGUUGCAACGCCUUUGCCAAUUGAGAUGCUAUGUAUUUGAGACUGCCUCCGAGGUUCCCUAGAAGGAUGACUUUGGUAGAUGUGCUUGCUCCAGCCGACAUCUCAUAAAAUUCCAUCACUGCAGGUUAGGCUAAUUAAGUUGUUCUGGUUCAACUGGUUGAGCUUGCAUUAGUUGUAACGGAACAGUUUGCUGCCUUGAUGUGAAGCCAUAGGAAUGAAUAAAGGAUUUUGAUUCUGAAUGAAAUGGAUUGUGUAACUAUUUCCUGAUUCUGAACUUCUAUUUUUAUUUUUUAUUUAUUA